Molecule: ribosomal RNA, 254 nt
Filed under: uncultured bacterium
Lineage: Bacteria
Description: partial 16S ribosomal RNA
Rfam family: Bacterial small subunit ribosomal RNA
Source: RNAcentral
AACGUAGGUGGCAAGCGUUAUCCGGAUUUACUGGGCGUAAAGGGUGUGCAGGCGGGGCUGGAAGUGGGGUAUGAAAUCUCCAGGCUUAACCUGGAGGGGUUAUGCCAGACUGCAGUUCUAGAGGGCGAGAGAGGGGGGUGGAAUUCCGGGUGUAGUGGUGAAAUGCGUAGAUAUCUGGAGGAACACCGGUGGCGAAGGCGGCAUCCUGGACCAACACUGACGCUGAGUGAGCGAAAGCCAGGGGAGCAAACGGG